Molecule: long non-coding RNA, 797 nt
Filed under: Citrus sinensis (sweet orange)
Lineage: Eukaryota; Viridiplantae; Streptophyta; Magnoliopsida; Sapindales; Rutaceae
Description: long non-coding RNA (CSIN_LNC005120)
Source: RNAcentral
CUCAGUGAGUGGAUAUAAUAUUAUAUUAAAAAUAUUAACAGUAAUAAUUAUAAUAAAGUAUGUGUACUAGUGCUUAUACAUAAUCAUGUAACAUAACUCCACAUUGAAUACCACACAUCAGCAAACAUGAAAUUCAUACAUACAUACAUCACAAACUGCACCAAAUAGUACCCAGGGGAAAUAACUCUCAAUACUCGUCGAGAUCAUCAUCGCAUGAGUAGAGUGGGGGAAAAACCUCUUAAUACCCGGCGGAAUUUAGCUAAAUCGCUCGGAUAGAGUAACCUAACUCUCAAUACGCAUGCGCAGAGUCUACGAGAACGAGUACAUAUAUGGUGGCUAGCAAUCACAUCUCAUGACUCAAUUAAACAUAUAAUAUGCGUACAUGUAAUUCAUAACACGAUAUUAAAUCAAAAUAUCAAACAUAAAUGCUUCACAGAAUACAUAAUAGUAAUAAUAGUAUCCACUCACAGAUCAUGUUUCACUCUGGGGUUCGUUGGGGCUCUUGUAGGUUCCUGGAUUCUCGAGUUCCUCCUAAAAUACAGGGUUCGAAAAUUAACUGUUAGAACUGAUAUAAAAACUUAUACGUAUCAUGCAAACUGUAACAUAACUGCUCAAAUUUCAUAAAUCUAUUACCCAUUGAUCCAAUGGAUAUAAUUCUAACUAUCCAAUUCUAUUUUCUGUAACUUUUCUUUUCAAUUUCUCUCUUCCCCACUCUUGGCAUAUUCCUUUUCCUUCUUCCUUUUCUUUUUCUUUUCCUUCUCUUUUCUUUCGGUUUCUCUUCUUUUCUUCUCUUUGUU